AGAUUUGUUUAACACGGUUCAUGAUAUGAUAUGAUAUGAUCCUUUCAAACAUUGGGUAAAUGUCCUAAAGUAGACACCGUAGAAAAUGACAAGCCUGCCCAUCUAUGCUCACCGCAUCUUUAUGACGUUGACAGUAGUCGUCUAACGCAAGGCUUGUAUUUGAAGGUUAGUUCGGUGGACAAUGGCUAUUCUGAGCAGAAGUGCUCUGACCGUUGGGGGAAUAACUUGGCGGAGAAGAACACCCAGUGCCAUUUCCUUCGCUGACACGAAGCUAGCCAAUGCUUAAGAGUGUCGUGGAUCUUAGCUAAAGGCUGCAGCAUAGGUGGAAAUAGCUAUACACUCCAAGAAAAUUAGAACGCACAGAACUCUGUGAAUGUGUGCACAAGUUCUACAGAUUUUUUCUCAUGCGUUCUUUUUUUCCCCGUUUUCAUCCGUUCUUCUUUCAGGGUCAUUGGUUUGCUUUUUUUGAGGUCCAGACAGAUCCAUGGGGAGCCAAAAGGCCACUAGAAGGGUUUGGUCACAUCUCAAGGUGGCCGAUAUCUACGUCAGACACCAAUGUGGACUUAAACAUACGAUAACUACAGUAGAUUCAAUUUUUGAUUCUUUCUACACUUUUUAUGGAGUUCUCUUUGUACAUACAAUAUGAGAGUGCCCAUAUUAUAUACUUUCACCAUUCCCCUUUUACCAAAUGUGUUACAAGUCAAUUACCCUCUCUUCUAUCUUUUUCUUUCUGUGAGCAUGGUUAGGGCUGUGGCGGUCAUGACAUUUUGUCAGACAGUUAUUGUCAUGCAAAAGACCGCCAGUCUCACGGGUCUGUUGACAGCCCCUCUCUCUGUGCGCUGGAGAAAGGAAUGAAGGAGAGCGAGGAGGAGAUGGAAACGCAUGGUGGUGAGAGCAGGCGGCUCGGAGCAGUUCGGAGCUCUGGCAUGAGACAACGUGUCUCUAUCGUGACACACCGAC
Molecule: long non-coding RNA, 960 nt
Filed under: Salmo salar (Atlantic salmon)
Lineage: Eukaryota; Metazoa; Chordata; Actinopteri; Salmoniformes; Salmonidae
Description: lncRNA (ENSSSAG00000117430.1)
Source: RNAcentral